RNAcentral lists this ribosomal RNA (328 nucleotides) under uncultured fungus. Its description in RNAcentral is "eukaryotic LSU rRNA". The stretch from base 1 to 71 matches the Rfam family "5.8S ribosomal RNA", at positions 84 to 154 of the family's 154-position model. Lineage: Eukaryota; Fungi. The record is from RNAcentral.
GUGAGUCAUCGAAUCUUUGAACGCACCUUGCACUCUUUGGUAUUCCGAAGAGUAUGUCUGUUUGAGUGUCAUGAAACUCUCAACCCCCCUGUUUUGUAAUGAGACAGGCUGCGGGCUUGGAUUGUGGCUGUCUGUCGGACCUUUUAGUAGGACCGGCUCGGCUGAAAUACACGAGCGACCCAUCUGAACCAGUGACGGCUUGACUCGGCGUAAUAAUACUAUUCGCUGAGGACGUCGUUGGAUUCUAACAGAGGCGCUUCUAAUGCGAAGGGUUACCUUCAUUUAAGCUUUAGACCUCAAAUCAGACAGGACUACCCGCUGAACUUAA